RNAcentral lists this transfer RNA (113 nucleotides) under Blastomyces percursus. It matches the Rfam family "tRNA". Rfam says of the family: Transfer RNA (tRNA) molecules are approximately 80 nucleotides in length. Their secondary structure includes four short double-helical elements and three loops (D, anti-codon, and T loops). The record is from Rfam by way of RNAcentral. Lineage: Eukaryota; Fungi; Ascomycota; Eurotiomycetes; Onygenales; Ajellomycetaceae.
GGGAAGAUGGCCGAGUGGUUAUGGCGCUACGUUCAGGUCUUGGCAUUGCAUCACAGCAGUGACCGGGAUUCGUAGUAGGGCAACCUGCGUGGGUUCGAGUCCCACUCUUCUCA